CACAUUGCUGGGAGUGUUAGGGCUGGGGAGCUCUGUGACGGUCACAUUGCUGGGAGUGUUAGGGCUGGGGAGCUCUGUGACGGUCACAUUGCUGGGAGUGUUAUAGCUGGGGAGCUCUGUGACAGUCACAUUGCUGGGAGUGUUAGGGCUGGGGAGCUCUGUGACGGUCACAUUGCUGGGAGUGUUAGGGCUGGGGAGCUCUGUGACGGUCACAUUGCUGGGAGUGUUAUGGCUGGGGAGCUCUGUGACAGUCACAUUGCUGGGAGUGUUAGGGCUGGGGAGCUCUGUGACAGUCACAUUGCUGGGAGUGUUAUGGCUGGGGAGCUCUGUGACGGUCACAUUGCUGGGGAGCUCUGUGACGGUCACAUUGCUGGGAGUGUUAGGGCUGGGGAGCUCUGUGACAGUCACAUUGCUGGGAGUGUUAGGGCUGGGGAGCUCUGUGACAGUCACAUUGCUGGGAGUGUUAUAGCUGGGGAGCUCUGUGACGGUCACAUUGCUGGGAGUGUUAGGGCUGGGGAGCUCUGUGACGGUCACAUUGCUGGGGAGCUCUGUGACGGUCACAUUGCUGGGAGUGUUAGGGCUGGGGAGCUCUGUGACGGUCACAUUGCUGGGAGUGUUAGGGCUGGGGAGCUCUGUGACGGUCACAUUGCUGGGAGUGUUAUAGCUGGGGAGCUCUGUGACAGUCACAUUGCUGGGAGUGUUAGGGCUGGGGAGCUCUGUGACGGUCACAUUGCUGGGAGUGUUAGGGCUGGGGAGCUCUGUGACGGUCACAUUGCUGGGGAGCUCUGUGACAGUCACAUUGCUGGGAGUGUUAUAGCUGGGGAGCUCUGUGACGGUCACAUUGCUGGGAGUGUUAUAGCUGGGGAGCUCUGUGACGGUCACAUUGCUGGGGAGCUCUGUGACAGUCACAUUGCUGGGAGUGUUAGGGCUGGGAUCUCACCAUGCUGCUGCUGCUGCUGCUGAUAGAGCGGAA
This is a non-coding RNA of Pelobates cultripes (western spadefoot toad), 973 nucleotides long. Lineage: Eukaryota; Metazoa; Chordata; Amphibia; Anura; Pelobatidae. The record is from the annotation of a GenBank genome assembly.